UAUGAUGGCUUUUAAGUAUUAAACGAUUACUUUGCAAGUUUAAUAAGCCAAUAAUUAAUAAUAGUAGCCAGGUGUAUAAUAAACAAUCUAACUAAAAAAGUCAUGUGUUGCCUUGUUUAAGGUCAUUUUUCAUUUUAAAAUUAUAGUUUUUCUUUAAAGUUUACGAGUGUUGCGAAUUUGAACAUGAAAAGAAGACGAAAACCAGGGACUGGAAAUAUUUGUCUUACAAUUUAUGAUAGCCAGUUAACAUUUUUACAUCGAUGAGGCCUAAACUAUUGAAAAAAAUGAAAGCAGAACGAACCAGUCGAAUGUCCCACGAGAAGACCUAGCUUUGUUUUGUACGGUUCGAUCCAGCUGAGUUUAGCCAGCCCUUCGAGUUUCACUACAAGCCCUGAAAUGUUAAAAGUCUCAAGUAAGAAACCGAAAAAUGGGCCAAUGAUGUCAAAACUUAACUCUGGCGUAGUGCGGCUUGUCCAGGUCGAUUUUCACAUUUCCAGUGAUUUCUGAGCCAGCUAUGAAGGAAUCUGUUUCGCAGUCUAGAACAAUUCUGACUGACAUAUCAAGGGGCGAUUUUGUCGAUGCAUUGAGAAGAGGAAUCCAAGACGAAACUAUGGACGGGUUUAGAAUGAAAGGCCUCUCAAAAAAUCACAUAAACCCUCCAUUUUCCUGCAUGUUUAGAACUAAUCAUAUGACAAAAUCUAACUUUUUUUAUAGUAAAUUACAUAAACAGAUCAAAGCGGAUGAUUUUUGCAAAGCUGUUAAAACAUGGGAAGAUCCAGAAAAUUUUAACAAAUAAAUUAUAAUACCAGAUGAAA
Molecule: long non-coding RNA, 815 nt
Organism: Cimex lectularius (bed bug)
Lineage: Eukaryota; Metazoa; Arthropoda; Insecta; Hemiptera; Cimicidae
Exons: 2
Source: RefSeq, a predicted model, not a curated record